This 253-nucleotide ribosomal RNA is filed under the name uncultured bacterium. RNAcentral's name for it is "partial 16S ribosomal RNA". It matches the Rfam family "Bacterial small subunit ribosomal RNA", at positions 524 to 776 of the family's 1533-position model. The record is from RNAcentral.
UACAGAGGUGGCUAGCGUUGUUCGGAAUUACUGGGCGUAAAGGGAGCGCAGGCGGCUAAACAAGUCUGAAGUGCAAGCCCGGGGCUCAACCCCGGAAUGGCUUUGGAUACUGUUUGGCUUGAGUACGUCAGAGGUGGGCGGAAUUCCAGGUGUAGCGGUGAAAUGCGUAGAUAUCUGGAGGAACAUCCGUGGCGAAAGCGGCCCACUGGGACGACACUGACGCUGAGGCUCGAAAGCGUGGGGAGCGAACGGG